This 467-nucleotide ribosomal RNA is filed under the name uncultured bacterium. RNAcentral describes it as "partial 16S ribosomal RNA". It matches the Rfam family "Bacterial small subunit ribosomal RNA", at positions 29 to 507 of the family's 1533-position model. The record is from RNAcentral.
ACGAACGCUGGCGGCGUGCUUAACCCCUGCAAGUCGCACGGAAAGGCCCUGCUUUUGUGGGGUGCUCGAGCGGCGAACGGGUGAGUAACACGUGAGUAACCUGCCCUUGACUUUGGGAUAACUUCAGGAAACUGGGGCUAAUACCGGAUAGGAGCUCCUGCUGCAUGGUGGGGGUUGGAAAGUUUCGGCGGUUGGGGAUGGACUCGCGGCUUAUCAGCUUGUUGGUGGGGUAGUGGCUUACCAAGGCUUUGACGGGUAGCCGGCCUGAGAGGGUGACCGGCCACAUUGGGACUGAGAUACGGCCCAGACUCCUACGGGAGGCAGCAGUGGGGAAUAUUGCACAAUGGGCGGAAGCCUGAUGCAGCAACGCCGCGUGCGGGAUGACGGCCUUCGGGUUGUAAACCGCUUUCGCCUGUGACGAAGCGUGAGUGACGGUAAUGGGUAAAGAAGCACCGGCUAACUACGUG